Small nucleolar RNA from Phyllostomus discolor (pale spear-nosed bat), 138 nucleotides. RefSeq annotates it as small nucleolar RNA SNORA48. Lineage: Eukaryota; Metazoa; Chordata; Mammalia; Chiroptera; Phyllostomidae. The transcript has a single exon. The record is from RefSeq and is a predicted model, not a curated record.
UGUUUAAAAACUGCUAAUAGAGUAGGUCUUAAAAGUCUUCAUCACAACUUAUAUCAGCCAGGGACAAAGUAACUCCUUGUUUACCCCAGGCUGGCUUUUGGUCUGUGCCCAUGCUGGCUUCACGCCUUAGACCCAUGG